GACGAACGCUGGCGGCGUGCUUAACACAUGCAAGUCGAACGCUGAAGCUCAGCUUUUGUUGGGUGGAUGAGUGGCGAACGGGUGAGUAACACGUGAGUAACCUGCCUCCUUCUUUGGGAUAACGCCCGGAAACGGGUGCUAAUACUGGAUAUUCACUGGUCUUCGCAUGGGGGUUGGUGGAAAGGGUUUUUCUGGUGGGGGAUGGGCUCGCGGCCAUCAGCUUGUUGGUGGGGUGAUGGCCUACCAAGGCUUUGACGGGUAGCCGGCCUGAGAGGGUGACCGGUCACAUUGGGACUGAGAUACGGCCCAGACUCCUACGGGAGGCAGCAGUGGGGAAUAUUGCACAAUGGGCGCAAGCCUGAUGCAGCGACGCCGCGUGAGGGAUGGAGGCCUUCGGGUUGUGAACCUCUUUCGCUCAUGGUCAAGCCGCAACAAUGGUUGUGGUGAGGGUAGUGGGUAAAGAAGCGCCGGCUAACUACGUG
Molecule: ribosomal RNA, 482 nt
Filed under: uncultured bacterium
Lineage: Bacteria
Description: partial 16S ribosomal RNA
Rfam family: Bacterial small subunit ribosomal RNA
Source: RNAcentral